AAAAACAAAACGGCACCGCGGGUGGCACGUGGACAAAGCAACGCAAGCUGUCGCACUCAGCUUCGCUGCCGCCGCUGCAUCAGAAGAAACAGGCGGCGGGCGGCGGAGACAAAACGGUGGUAGUCGGCGAAUUUGACUCGACGGUUGGCGCGGUGAUAAUAUCGGUGACUUUGGUAGUGAUGAUAAUUUGGGGGUAAAGUUUGGGCGAUUUUGUGUAUGGCAGCUUGGUUUUACUUCAUACCUCGAUUUAGAGCAAAAAUGGACGAAUCAUACGCGAUUAAAUUCAAGAGCGGCGAAAGCGACGCUGUUGAUUUUGAUUCGUGGAGUAUAAGAAAAGGGUUGUUUUGCAAGGAUUGCUCCAUCGAAAUCAAACCCUAUGACUGCGAGUUUUGUGUUUUAGAUACUGUGGUGUAAUUUAUCUAUACUUUUUUUUUCGUUUAAUUUUGAUCCAGUCUGUUUAAAAUUGGGUGUUUUUUCUUUUCUUUCUUUUUUCAAGAUAAUUGUAUACAUGUUAGGAGUGUUUUUUUUUUUUUUUUAAUCAUAUAGUAUAUAUCUAUAUUUGAAUUACGUAUUUCAAAUAUGAUGUGUCGGAAAUGAUUUUGAUGCUCUGUUGCCAAUGAUAUUUAUAUUUUGUACUCUAUUAUAAAAGUAUUGGGUGAAUUUAGUUUACGAGUGACCAUUUGCUUUUUACCUUUUU
RNAcentral lists this long non-coding RNA (697 nucleotides) under Salvia miltiorrhiza (redroot sage). RNAcentral's name for it is "long non-coding RNA (SMIL_LNC002842)". The record is from RNAcentral. Lineage: Eukaryota; Viridiplantae; Streptophyta; Magnoliopsida; Lamiales; Lamiaceae.